GAUGAACGCUAGCUACAGGCUUAACACGUGCAAGUCGAGGGGAAACGGCAUCGAAAGCUUGCUUUUGAUGGGCGUCGACCGGCGCACGGGUGAGUAACGCGUAUCCAACCUGCCCAUCACUUGGGAAUAACCUUGCGAAAGUAAGACUAAUGCCCAAUGACAUCCCACGAAGGCAUCCGAAUGGGAUUAAAGAUUUAUCGGUGAUGGAUGGGGAUGCGUCUGAUUAGCUUGUUGGCGGGGUGACGGCCCACCAAGGCAACGAUCAGUAGGGGUUCUGAGAGGAAGGUCCCCCACAUUGGAACUGAGACACGGUCCAAACUCCUACGGGAGGCAGCAGUGAGGAAUAUUGGUCAAUGGGCGAGAGCCUGAACCAGCCAAGUAGCGUGCAGGAUGACGGCCCUAUGGGUUGUAAACUGCUUUUAUAAGGGAAUAAAGUGGGUCACGUGUGACUUUUUGCAUGUACCUUAUGAAUAAGGACCGGCUAAUUCCGUG
Molecule: ribosomal RNA, 492 nt
Filed under: uncultured bacterium
Lineage: Bacteria
Description: partial 16S ribosomal RNA
Rfam family: Bacterial small subunit ribosomal RNA
Source: RNAcentral